RNAcentral lists this ribosomal RNA (497 nucleotides) under uncultured bacterium. RNAcentral's name for it is "partial 16S ribosomal RNA". It matches the Rfam family "Bacterial small subunit ribosomal RNA", at positions 28 to 507 of the family's 1533-position model. The record is from RNAcentral.
GAUGAACGCUGGCGGCGUGCCUAAUACAUGCAAGUCGAGCGAACAGACGAGGAGCUUGCUCCUCUGACGUUAGCGGCGGACGGGUGAGUAACACGUGGAUAACCUACCUAUAAGACUGGGAUAACUUCGGGAAACCGGAGCUAAUACCGGGUAAUAUAUUGAACCGCAUGGUUCAAUAGUGAAAGACGGUUUUGCUGUCACUUAUAGAUGGAUCCGCGCCGCAUUAGCUAGUUGGUAAGGUAACGGCUUACCAAGGCGACGAUGCGUAGCCGACCUGAGAGGGUGAUCGGCCACACUGGAACGGAGACACGGUCCAGACUCCUACGGGAGGCAGCAGUAGGGAAUCUUCCGCAAAGGGCGAAAGCCUGACGGAGCAACGCCGCGUGAGUGAUGGAGGUCUUCGGAUCGUAAAACUCUGUUAUUAGGGAAGAACAAAUGUGUAAGUAACUAUGCACGUCUUGACGGUACCUAAUCAGAAAGCCACGGCUAACUACGUG